AAAGUGUUUACUGUGACUGUUGACUUUAAAGAAUCAGGAUUUCAUAGACAUCAUUGACAACUGAUAUCAGAGAUGGACACUGCAGCAUUUAUUGCAUAUUCACAACUGUAAAACCUUGGUUAAAUGUCAGCAUGUACAGUAAUUGCUUAUUAUCCACCCAUCAAGAGCUGCAGGUCCCCUGAAUCCAUUAAAUAAACAAUCACAGAAAAAACAUUAAUAUCUCAGGUUAAAAAUGAUUGCAUACAUACAUUUUGGCACUUGAAUUCAAGUUAAAACACUUGUUUGAUUUGGCAUGCAAACACGUUUGAGGUCUCUCCAGCAUUUGUU
This is a long non-coding RNA of Sinocyclocheilus rhinocerous, 327 nucleotides long. RefSeq lists it as uncharacterized. The record is from RefSeq and is a predicted model, not a curated record. NCBI's taxonomy places the organism in Eukaryota, Metazoa, Chordata, Actinopteri, Cypriniformes, Cyprinidae. The transcript is spliced from 3 exons.